Molecule: ribosomal RNA, 253 nt
Filed under: uncultured bacterium
Lineage: Bacteria
Description: partial 16S ribosomal RNA
Rfam family: Bacterial small subunit ribosomal RNA
Source: RNAcentral
UACGGAGGGGGCAAGCGUUGUUCGGAAUCAUUGGGCGUAAAGGGCGCGUAGGCUGUCUGGUGAGUUUGCGGUAAAAACCCGGGGCUCAACCGCGGGAGUGCGUUGAAUACUGCAAGACUUGAGGCUGGGAGAGGCUGGUGGAAUUCCCUGUGUAGAGGUGAAAUGCGUAGAUAUAGGGAAGAACACUCGUGGCGAAGGCGGCCCGCUAGUCCGGACCUGACGCUGAGGCGCGACAGAGUGGGGAGCAAACAGG